RNAcentral lists this ribosomal RNA (632 nucleotides) under uncultured fungus. RNAcentral describes it as "eukaryotic LSU rRNA". The stretch from base 218 to 372 matches the Rfam family "5.8S ribosomal RNA". Lineage: Eukaryota; Fungi. The record is from RNAcentral.
AAGUCGUAACAAGGUUUCCGUAGGUGAACCUGCGGAAGGAUCAUUAAUGUGUUUGAGCUUCGGCUCUUCAUCCAGACGCUGUGCGCCUUCGGGCUGCACGCCGACGGAGCAUAUAUCCACCCCUGUGCACACACACGGUGGCGAGCUGGAUAACGGCUCGCCGCUGAUUUUUACACACGUCUAAAAGUCUUGUAUGUUUUAUUGAGAUACAAAAAACAACUUUCAGCAACGGAUCUCUUGGCUCUCGCAUCGAUGAAGAACGCAGCGAAAUGCGAUAAGUAAUGUGAAUUGCAGAAUUCAGUGAAUCAUCGAAUCUUUGAACGCACCUUGCGCCCCUCGGCCAUUCCUUGGGGCAUGCCUGUUUGAGUAUCAUGAACACCUCAACUCUCACGGUUCGCCGCGAAGAGCUUGGAUCUGGGGGUUUGCCGGCCACGCGGUCUGCUCCCCUCAAAUGAAUCAGCUUGCCAGUGUCUGGCGGCGUCAUGGGUGUGAUAACCAUCUACGCUCACGGCCGUCCGCCGGGUAACCUUUGUCGCCGGAGGUUCGCUGGAGCUUACAAACGUCUCUCCUUGGUGGGGGACACCUUUCGAACGUUCGAUCUCAAAUCAGGUAGGACUACCCGCUGAACUUAA